Molecule: ribosomal RNA, 254 nt
Filed under: uncultured prokaryote
Description: partial 16S ribosomal RNA
Rfam family: Bacterial small subunit ribosomal RNA
Source: RNAcentral
UACGGAGGAUGCGAGCGUUAUCCGGAUUUAUUGGGUUUAAAGGGUGCGUAGGCGGCCUUGUAAGUCAGCGGUGAAAUUUUGCAGCUUAACUGUAAAAGUGCCGUUGAUACUGUGAGGCUAGGAUUUGGUUGCUGUGGGUGGAAUGUGUGGUGUAGCGGUGAAAUGCUUAGAGAUCACACAGAAUAUCGAUUGCGAAGGCAGCUCACAAAGCCAAGAUUGACGCUGAGGCACGAAAGCGUGGGGAUCAAACAGGA